This 929-nucleotide ribosomal RNA is filed under the name uncultured Bacillota bacterium. RNAcentral describes it as "bacterial SSU rRNA". It matches the Rfam family "Bacterial small subunit ribosomal RNA", at positions 8 to 916 of the family's 1533-position model. Lineage: Bacteria; Bacillati; Bacillota. The record is from RNAcentral.
AGAGUUUGAUCCUGGCUCAGGACGAACGCUGGCGGCGUGCCUAAUACAUGCAAGUCGAGCGAAUCUGAUAAAAGUUUGCUUUUUGAAGGUUAGCGGCGGACGGGUGAGUAACACGUGGGCAACCUGCCUGUAAGACUGGGAUAACUUCGGGAAACCGGAGCUAAUACCGGAUAAUUAUAAAGAACCUCCUGGUUCUUUAUUGAAAGAUGGUUUCGGCUAUCACUUACAGAUGGGCCCGCGGCGCAUUAGCUAGUUGGUGAGGUAACGGCUCACCAAGGCGACGAUGCGUAGCCGACCUGAGAGGGUGAUCGGCCACACUGGGACUGAGACACGGCCCAGACUCCUACGGGAGGCAGCAGUAGGGAAUCUUCCACAAUGGACGAAAGUCUGAUGGAGCAACGCCGCGUGAGCGACGAAGGCCUUCGGGUCGUAAAGCUCUGUUGUUAGGGAAGAACAAGUACCGGAGUAACUGCCGGUACCUUGAUGGUACCUAACCAGAAAGCCACGGCUAACUACGUGCCAGCAGCCGCGGUAAUACGUAGGUGGCAAGCGUUGUCCGGAAUUAUUGGGCGUAAAGCGCGCGCAGGCGGUUUCUUAAGUCUGAUGUGAAAGCCCACGGCUCAACCGUGGAGGGUCAUUGGAAACUGGGAAACUUGAGUGCAGAAGAGGAAAGUGGAAUUCCACGUGUAGCGGUGAAAUGCGUAGAGAUGUGGAGGAACACCAGUGGCGAAGGCGACUUUCUGGUCUGUAACUGACGCUGAGGCGCGAAAGCGUGGGGAGCAAACAGGAUUAGAUACCCUGGUAGUCCACGCCGUAAACGAUGAGUGCUAAGUGUUAGAGGGUUUCCGCCCUUUAGUGCUGCAGCUAACGCACUAAGCACUCCGCCUGGGGAGUACGGUCGCAAGACUGAAACUCAAAGGAAUUGACGG